RNAcentral lists this ribosomal RNA (406 nucleotides) under uncultured bacterium. Its description in RNAcentral is "partial 16S ribosomal RNA". It matches the Rfam family "Bacterial small subunit ribosomal RNA", at positions 30 to 526 of the family's 1533-position model. The record is from RNAcentral.
AUUGAACGCUGGCGGCAGGCCUAACACAUGCAAGUCGAACGAGUGGCGGACGGGUGAGUAAUGUCUGGGAAACUGCCUGAUGGAGGGGGAUAACUACUGGAAACGGUAGCUAAUACCGCAUACCAUCGGAUGUGCCCAGAUGGGAUUAGAUAGUAGGUGGGGUAAAGGCUCCCCUAGGCGACGAUCCCUAGCUGGUCUGAGAGGAUGACCAGCCACACUGGAACUGCGACACGAUCCAGACUCAUACGGGCGGCAGCAGUGGGGAAUAUUGCAAAAUGGGCGAAAACCUUAUGCAGCCACGCCUGGUUGAUGAAGAAGGCCGUCGGGUUGUAAAGUACUUUCAGCGGGGAGGCGUUACCCGCAGAAGAAGCACCGGCUAACUCCGUGCCAGCAGCCGCGGUAAUAC